CCUACGGGAGGCAGCAGUGAGGAAUAUUGGUCAAUGGACGAGAGUCUGAACCAGCCAAGUCGCGUGAGGGAUGACGGUCCUAUGGAUUGUAAACCUCUUUUGUCGGGGAGCAAGGCCCGCCACGUGUGGCGGGAAGGAGAGUACCCGAAGAAAAAGCAUCGGCUAACUCCGUGCCAGCAGCCGCGGUAAUACGGAGGAUCCGAGCGUUAUCCGGAUUUAUUGGGUUUAAAGGGAGCGUAGGUGGAUUGUUAAGUCAGUUGUGAAAGUUUGCGGCUCAACCGUAAAAUUGCAGUUGAAACUGGCAGUCUUGAGUACAGUAGAGGUGGGCGGAAUUCGUGGUGUAGCGGUGAAAUGCUUAGAUAUCACGAAGAACUCCGAUUGCGAAGGCAGUUCACUGGACUGCAACUGACACUGAGGCUCGAAAGUGUGGGUAUCAAACAGGAUUAGAUACCCGAGUAGUC
Molecule: ribosomal RNA, 461 nt
Filed under: uncultured bacterium
Lineage: Bacteria
Description: partial 16S ribosomal RNA
Rfam family: Bacterial small subunit ribosomal RNA
Source: RNAcentral